This is a long non-coding RNA of Budorcas taxicolor (takin), 420 nucleotides long. RefSeq lists it as uncharacterized. Lineage: Eukaryota; Metazoa; Chordata; Mammalia; Artiodactyla; Bovidae. The record is from RefSeq and is a predicted model, not a curated record. The transcript has 3 exons.
CUGCUGCUGCGAGGCCGAGGACGAGCCGGCGGUCAGGCCGUCCAGCACCUUCCUGAUGUUGAAUUUCCUCAUGGUCGCGGCGGGGCUCCCCCGCACCCCGGGAGCCGAGAAUGAAGAGGACCAGGGACAAGUCAGAUUCCCAGGGCCUCUGUGGAGCAGAACAAGAUCCCUUUGGCCAGACACAAUCAGGAUUGGUUAUGGAAUUCAGCCAGCUCCCAGAACUGGAGGUGAGAUGUCUGCUGGCUCUCGGCUGUAGGUGAACAUGUGGGAAGACUCAGAGGCUGGAAGGAGCCUGUCAACCUACAGGGACAUGGGGAUGUGGGAAGAGCAGUGAUGAACCAUCCAGUUAUGAGACACCUGGAGACGAAGACUUAGAGACAAAGAUGUCAAGCUGAAAGGACCCCUGGGAAUAUUCACCAU